Long non-coding RNA from Gorilla gorilla gorilla (western lowland gorilla), 573 nucleotides. RefSeq lists it as uncharacterized. The transcript is spliced from 4 exons. The record is from RefSeq and is a predicted model, not a curated record. NCBI's taxonomy places the organism in Eukaryota, Metazoa, Chordata, Mammalia, Primates, Hominidae.
AGACAUGGGACCAUCAUCUGGAUUCCUAGACGUGCAACUUCAAGCUUAGAAGAAAUAAAGGAAAUAUCCCAGGAGCAAAAACAAAACACACACAUGCUCCUCUCAAGAGUCACUGGCAUCCCAGCUGAAAAGUCAGCUCUACACCUAUGGGACCUAUGGGCCUGUUUCUGAGCUCUGUUCUGUCUCUUUGGUCUGAGUGUCUAUCUGAGGCCAAUACCACAGUACCAAAUGCGGUUGCUUUAGAGGAAGUCUUGAAAUCAGAUGAGGGAGGAUAACUUUCGCAUCUCAGCCCUUCUCCAUUUCCUGAGGCUUCUUCCAGGCUCUGGUGUGUGGUCCACCCUGGAGAAUGUCUCGCUCUCCUCUCGAGAGGAACGUGGCUGCGGCUGUGCGUGGACCGUUUGGCAGAGGCUCAUAUGCUGGAUCCACUGGUUGGUUCACGGGGUUCAUUCCUGUCUGUUGAUCUUCUACCUAGUGGCUCCAUCACUCAUUCAAGCCACCCGAUGUCCCUUUUGAUUAUUGUUUACACGGUUCGUCUUUUUCCACCUUUCCCGGUUGGACUCUGACACGUCUCUG